Molecule: ribosomal RNA, 429 nt
Filed under: Fusobacteriota bacterium
Lineage: Bacteria; Fusobacteriati; Fusobacteriota
Description: Fusobacteria bacterium partial 16S ribosomal RNA
Rfam family: Bacterial small subunit ribosomal RNA
Source: RNAcentral
UGGGGAAUAUUGCGCGAUGGGCGAAAGCCUGACGCAGCGACGCCGCGUGAGGGAUGAAGGUUUUCGGAUCGUAAACCUCCGUCAGAAGGGAAGAAACCGCACUGUGCUAAUCAGCAGUGCCUUGACGGUACCUUCAAAGGAAGCACCGGCUAACUCCGUGCCAGCAGCCGCGGUAAUACGGAGGGUGCAAGCGUUAAUCGGAAUUACUGGGCGUAAAGCGCACGUAGGCUGCUUUGUAAGUCAGGGGUGAAAUCCCACGGCUCAACCGUGGAACUGCCUUUGAUACUGCUUAGCUUGAAUCCGGGAGAGGGUGGCGGAAUUCCAGGUGUAGGAGUGAAAUCCGUAGAUAUCUGGAGGAACAUCAGUGGCGAAGGCGGCCACCUGGACCGGUAUUGACGCUGAGGUGCGAAAGCGUGGGGAGCAAACAGG